Molecule: long non-coding RNA, 719 nt
Filed under: Helianthus annuus (common sunflower)
Lineage: Eukaryota; Viridiplantae; Streptophyta; Magnoliopsida; Asterales; Asteraceae
Description: hypothetical non coding rna
Source: RNAcentral
UCGCUACUUUUAGUAGCAGCAAAAUGGUUGAGUUCACAUUUGUAUAGUAACUUUGAUAGUUGGUGGUAAUUACAAAAAUGCCACCUUUUGUUUAUGGGACAUGAUUGAAUUGGACAUUCGGUUGAGUUUGUCGAAAUGGCACGUAUAAACUCUUCGAAUUCUUUAGGUUCGCAAAAUUGAUCUUUGUUUUGUAUGCUUGAAUUUCGACAAAUGGGAUUUCCGUGUAACCUGAUGAACACAAGUGCAUGAAUUGAUUAGAAUUUUCUGAUCCCGAUAGGUUCGGAAGUUUCGACCCGUUUACUUAUGAAUGUGUUGAUUUCCAGUUAUUGUUUUUAUUUUAAAUUAGAGGAAUGAAAUUAAUAUAGUUAAGAAGAGAACGGGUCAAAUGGGUCAAACGAGUUGAAAAUCUAAAGUAUUUUGUUCAAAAAAUUAGAUUGUUACUGUAACAAUAUUGUUUUGUAAUCUUACUUAUGGAUUAACUAUUUAUUUAAAGUUGUCAAAAGCGAAAAGCGGAGGACAGUGACAAGCUACCUAUACGCUACAUAGCAAUAGAGAUGAAAUAGCGUGCGCCAUUUUAUGUUUAGCGAUACACUAGAAGAAAACUUUAGAAAUAAUUUAUAUGCAUAUUUUAUCAAAAUACGCUGUUUUUUCAUCUAAAUACGCAUUUUAUAUUAAAUAGUUAUAUUAAUACAGAUUAAAAUGCCUAAAAUCCCGCUAUU